Orcinus orca (killer whale) is the source of this 1846-nucleotide long non-coding RNA. RefSeq lists it as uncharacterized. The transcript has 2 exons. The record is from RefSeq and is a predicted model, not a curated record. NCBI's taxonomy places the organism in Eukaryota, Metazoa, Chordata, Mammalia, Artiodactyla, Delphinidae.
CCCUCACACACACCCCAGCGUGUACACCACACACACACACACACACACACACACACACACACACACACACACACGUGCACCCUUUCCACCAAUGGGAACAGGCGUGCGUCCCAGCCGCCUAUCCCCGGAGAGAUCUAAUCGAUGGCACGCGCGAGCUGGGGGCGGGGACAGACUCCAGUGUUUGAAUAAGAAGAAAAAAAGUUUAAGUUUAUGGCAACCCCACGGUGAGGGAGAGGGAGGGUAGCCAGGAGGGAGGCGGCAGGCCGGCCAGAGGUCCCGGAGGGGGUGGGGAGGCUGGAGGCUGAGGUUUCAGCUGGCUCCCUUCUCCUGGUUAUGAAACUCAUUAACAAGCCGCUCCACAAGUUUUUAAGACAACAGAGCCAGCUCAGGCCAAGGCGACCUCAGAGGAGCUGUGGAAAGCUGUGCGGGCUGAGCGACAAUGACACUGCAGGCAGGGUACUACGUGAGCAUCCCGCAAGCAGGACAAGCAGGGCUGGCAGGCCCAGGCCUCGAAACACACCCACCCACGUCCAUAGACCCCGCGAGUGAAAGUGUCGUGAACAGUGGAGUGUUUUUAAACGGGCCAAGCACACCAACUCCGGAGAGAAAAUGAAGCACUUUUCAAUGAGAAGCUGUCUGGGCAAAGAGAACUCCUUUGGUAAAAGCACGCCCUGCACACAGCCUCCUCUCUGUUCCUCCCUUCCUUCCUCCCUCCCUUCCCUCAGGCUUACUUCCUGACCCCUGGCCCUGUGUCCAAAAUCCUCCCUGAUUAAGAAAGGCAGCUUCCCAUAGCGGAAGUUGAAACGUCUAAGUUGACCCCAACCUGCCACUGGCUAACUGUGAGGUCUCAGCAAAUCUCUCUGGCUCCCUGGCCCCGGUUUCCCCACCAGAACAUCUCUCCGGGGCUAAAACCCCAAGAUGCCAGCAGCUCAGAGAAUAUGUCCCCACUGCCGGGGGUGGGGGUGGGGGAGCAGGCCUGGGGAGGGGUAAACUGAGGGAGCGGCGGCCUCCCGCAGGGACUCACGCUCAGUGCAGUACUGGCCUUUCCAGCCAGGGUUGCAGACUUUUUCCCCUCGCUCCCCGCAGGUGAAGUGGCCGAAGGCGUCGUCGCGGGGGCGGCAGAAGACGGAGCAGCCUUCCCCGUAGUAGUGUUCGUCACACACGAAUCGGUAGGAGUACUUGAGGUCUGUGCGACCGCUGCUGUGCAGGUCCUGGGACCACUCCUCGCCCACCGUCAGGUGCCUCUGCGUGGCCAGGCGGCUGAUGAGCCUUUCCGGGUUCUCUGCAGGAAGAGGAUGCUCUGUUGGUUCUGACUGGGAACCCAGAGGCUCGGGGAGUGAGGGAGGUGGAAAGGAUGCUGGGCAAGGAGGCUGAAGGCUCUUCUCCUCAACCUUCCGGAGUAACUUGCAGAAUGAAAGAUGCAGACGUUUGUUUCUGGGGAGAUCUGAACUCAAAUACAUAAUAACUGGAGACGCAGUUUGCACAGUUUGGGAGCGUUUUGGUUUGUUUUUACCUGUUGCGAGGUCAUCAGGAGAAUCAGAGUGGAGAGCUUCAAUGAUCAGAGAGAAGGUUCCCUGGAGGAAGGGGGAGGAGACAGAAGAUAAACCAGAAAUGUUUAAAAAAGAAUCAAAGCUUUCGGGACGACCAAGUCGUCGCAGGUCUGUGUGCAGUGUGUCGUGGGGGUGGGGAGGGUCUCUGUACAUCUCUUGUCUGAUUUCACUUUCCUUAAGGAAAUGGAAGGACUUUUUAAAGAGUGGUUUCCUGACGUGUUUUUUCAGCCUGUUAAUACAGGAUAUCGCAGUAAAAAAAAAAAAAAAAAGAAGAAGAAGAAAAAGAAAAGGAAAAA